This 72-nucleotide transfer RNA is filed under the name Ictidomys tridecemlineatus (thirteen-lined ground squirrel). RNAcentral describes it as "Spermophilus tridecemlineatus (thirteen-lined ground squirrel) tRNA". It matches the Rfam family "tRNA". From Rfam's summary of the family: Transfer RNA (tRNA) molecules are approximately 80 nucleotides in length. The record is from Rfam by way of RNAcentral. Lineage: Eukaryota; Metazoa; Chordata; Mammalia; Rodentia; Sciuridae.
UGGGGUGUAGCUCAGCAGUAGAGCGCUUGACUUCCAAGAGUGAGGCACUGGGUUCAAUCCUCAGCACCACAU